Molecule: unclassified non-coding RNA, 2768 nt
Filed under: Hevea brasiliensis (rubber tree)
Lineage: Eukaryota; Viridiplantae; Streptophyta; Magnoliopsida; Malpighiales; Euphorbiaceae
Source: RNAcentral
GAUGAAAGCAACAUAUUACCUGUGAAAAAAAAAUACAGUUGAACAUACAUAAUCUCUGAACUUGUCAACCUGAGAACAAUAAUUAAAAGUAACUAGGCAGAACCCAUUCACUCAACAUUUUUGUUUUAUUGCUGUAUGGUAAAGUUAUUACAAUCAAAGCCCUCUGUAGUAAUAUCGAAAUCCAACAUGAAUAAUAGGUUUUAAAGUUUGGGGGGUGGGGAGAGGAGAAGAGAAGAGGAGGAAGGAGUUGUUCAAACUUGAGAUCUCUUAUAGUAAAUCUCAAGCUUUUACCACUGAAACGUGCCCUUCCAAACAUCAUGAAUAUCAUAUGCAUAGGAAGUUGCGUCAGAAUUUAUUCACAAUUUCAAUAUAUCAUGCAACAGCCACUAAAAUUUAUUGCCUCGUCAUAGACAGCAAGCCCCUCAGUUAUUCCAGCAAUCGCUUGUGCUUGCACCAGGCAAUAGCAAUUACAUAUAGGAACACGCUCCCAGUACAGCUGCCCCCAACAGUCCAUAAAAACUUUUGCAUCCCAACCUCCGUCUCUUCAUUGAACAACUCAAUGUUGAUAUUCAUGCCAAAAACACCAGCAACAACAACAAAACAGCUGAUCACUAGGGUUGCUGUUGUUAACAUGACCCCCAUUUGGAGGAGAUGAUUCUGUUUGUCGUCCAGCAUUAUAUUGAUGUAGUCCUCUGUAUCAUCAACGUACUCCCUCAACUUCCAAGAUGCAACCAGGAAAACAUAAAACAGUGAUUAAUCAGUUGACUUGCAUCUAUAAACGGAGAAUUGACUACAAGAUUAGAAAUGAAUAUAGACACUGUUCAAUAUUUUGUUCAAAAUCACAGGCAGUCAUGCGCUUGAAUGCAUGAAAAGCCAAGUAAUAUGGACAAAGUUCAGUUUAGUUACAUUGUUGAGCCUAACGUGUCCGUAAAUCUAAUUCCAGGCAUUUUUGCUCCAAAAUUCCGGCAGUAACAAUUAGGAUUUUACACAAAGGGAAAUUGUUAAAUCCACAUAAUUCCAGUUUCUUAGAAGGGAACAUAAUAACAAGGGUGUGCAUAUAUGCAUAACAAGCUAGUAAUAAUCAAAAUUUAGAUAACUAUCAGAAGAACCAAGUGCAAUGAUUAAGCUGCUUACUGUUGAUAGUUUGUUCAGUGUACCAUCAAUUUGAACAAAGUAUGCCUCCAAUAGCAUUUCCAGCUCCUCUACAUCAAGGUGCUUGCUUAUAGCACUUCGAGUGGUACUGGUAUGGGUCCCAUGGCUGCCCCUACUAAGCAAAUGAGGAGCACUAAACAGAUGAUCCUGUGGGUUGUCAGCAUUGUGAAUAUCACCGUCACCACUAGUGGAAGCCCCAUGAGCAUCCAACGAAACUUCAGCAGGUAUCCUGACUCAACAAAAUGAGAAAUCCAAGGGAAAAAACAGUAACUUGGAGAAAAAUGAUUGUGUAAUCAAAGUGACGAUGAAAUUAAUAGGUACCUGUCAUCCAAGUCUGCUGGAAGAUAUUCAUCAUCCAUGUAAUCUCUCUCAUUUAAAGAGGUAGAGGAAGAAUUUUCUAGGUGCUGAACCAACUUUUCAGUUAGAUACAUCUCAGCCAUAUCUUCAUCAUCAUCCAACAAGUGUUCCAAUUCAUCCCUAACCUAGAGAUGAAUGCGCAUACAUAACUUUUGCAAUAAUAAGGUUAUUAUUCAUAACAGCCUAUCACAGAACACUAUAAAUGAACAAUAAAAAAACUAGCAAACCUUUUGAACACGGCCAGUUAUUGCAACCAAACGACUCUUAAUUUGCCGGACUCGCUCUAAAUUGAGGGUGCUGAUUUUUGAAGUCAGCUUAUCCAGUGCUGGAUGAGCCUCUUGCUCCAGUGUUUUUGCCUGGUUAGGUUAUGGAAAACAAAAAAAACCCUUGUGAAAGAAGCUAUAAAGAUACCAAAAAGCUGUCAAACUAGAACAUAUAAAUGCUCACUUCAUUUUCUAAGCAACCGCAAGCAGCCUCAAGACAUGCCUCCAAUGCAACAAAUUCAAAUGGAAGAACAUUAGAUCCAUCUCGAUUUUCAAGCCCUGGUUUCCCAUCUACCUUACAUCCCUCAUCUUGAUCCUGAGAGUGUCGAAAGCCUCCUGGAAAAUUUUUAUGAUUUUCCCUUGAUUGAGGCUCUUCAGGGUCAUACAAAUUUUUCCAGUUUGAAAAAUCACCAUUUCCCUCCUGAGCUUUUGCAGCGUUAUAAUGACAUAAAAGCCUCCUCUGCAAUUCCUCAACAAACGGUGUAACAGAGGGGUCCCUGGAAUUCAGCAAAAGAAUCUCCUGGGCUGUAAUUAUUGCCUUGAUAUGCUCCAAAUUGAUGACGAUAGCUCUCUCUCGACCCAAAAUUGUAGAUGGGUACGAGAGUAGCGGGUCGAGGAUCCGGAGGUCACGAGCAGGCAAUCCGGUGCGGCGCAUGAUGGCAUGCUUACUCACCUCCACAACCUGGGCCUGGCCGGUGUGGUGAAGGAGAAGCCAGGCCCGAACACCGAUUCCUUUCUUGCGGACAGUGGGGAGGACGGCUGCGGCUGCUUGUCGGUUUAAUGGGUCGGUGUCGUCAUCGAGUUGGGAGUCGGUGGGUUUGGAUAGAGGCAGAGGGUAAGACCUCAUCGUCUUGGUCGGAGUCUGCGCACGGGGAAGGGUGGAGAGUGGAUGUGGAGUAGUCCACACUGGUACAUAGCAAGAAUCCUCAUCGUCUUGGUAAGAGUCCACGAAAGGGCAGAUCAUUGAAUGCGCAUUUGCACGUGCCAGUGUGGACU